Molecule: ribosomal RNA, 910 nt
Filed under: uncultured bacterium
Lineage: Bacteria
Description: bacterial SSU rRNA
Rfam family: Bacterial small subunit ribosomal RNA
Source: RNAcentral
AGAGUUUGAUCCUGGCUCAGGACGAACGCUGGCGGCGUGCUUAACACAUGCAAGUGGAGCAACGAACCGGGCUUCGGCCCGGGGCAAAGCCGCGAACGGGUGAGUAACACGUGGGUAACCUGCCCCGAUGACUGGGACAACCCGAGGAAACUCGGGCUAAUACCGGAUGUGCUCUCUUCACGUCAGUGAAGUGAGUAAAGGUAGCUUCGGCCUCCGCAUCGGGAUGGGCCCGCGGCCCAUUAGCUUGUUGGUGAGGUAACGGCUCACCAAGGCCGCGAUGGGUAGCUGGUCUGAGAGGACGAUCAGCCACACUGGAACUGAGACACGGCCCAGACUCCUACGGGAGGCAGCAGUGGGGAAUCUUGCGCAAUGCGCGAAAGCGUGACGCAGCAACGCCGCGUGGGUGAAGAAGGCCUUCGGGUUGUAAAGCCCUUUCAGGAGGGACGAAGGUUCGGUCGUUAAUAGCGGUCCGGACUGACGGUACCUUCACAAGAAGCCCCGGCUAACUACGUGCCAGCAGCCGCGGUAAUACGUAGGGGGCAAGCGUUGUCCGGAAUCAUUGGGCGUAAAGAGCGCGUAGGCGGUCCGGUAAGUCCGCUCUGAAAGUCCGGGGCUCAACCCCGGGAGGCGGGCGGAUACUGUCGGGCUAGAGUCCGGAAGAGGCGAGUGGAAUUCCUGGUGUAGCGGUGAAAUGCGCAGAUAUCAGGAGGAACACCGAUGGCGAAGGCAGCUCGCUGGGACGGUACUGACGCUGAGGCGCGAAAGCGUGGGGAGCAAACAGGAUUAGAUACCCUGGUAGUCCACGCCGUAAACGAUGGGCACUAGGUGUGGGAGGUGUCGACUCCUCCCGUGCCGCAGCUAACGCAUUAAGUGCCCCGCCUGGGGAGUACGGCCGCAAGGCUAAAACUCA